UACAGAGGUCUCAAGCGUUGUUCGGAUUCAUUGGGCGUAAAGGGUGCGUAGGCGGCGCGGUAAGUCGGGUGUGAAAUCUCGGGGCUUAACUCCGAAACUGCAUUCGAUACUGCCGUGCUUGAGGACUGGAGAGGAGACUGGAAUUUACGGUGUAGCGGUGAAAUGCGUAGAUAUCAGGAAGAACACCCGUGGCUAAGGCGGUUCUCUAGUACGGUACUGACGCUGAGACGCGAAAGCGUGGGGAGCGAACAGG
This 253-nucleotide ribosomal RNA is filed under the name uncultured bacterium. RNAcentral describes it as "partial 16S ribosomal RNA". It matches the Rfam family "Bacterial small subunit ribosomal RNA", at positions 524 to 776 of the family's 1533-position model. The record is from RNAcentral.